GUAGGUGAACUGCGGAAGGAUCAUUGUUGAU
This 31-nucleotide ribosomal RNA is filed under the name Piper cf. obliquum Tepe 1022. RNAcentral's name for it is "partial 18S ribosomal RNA". The record is from RNAcentral. Lineage: Eukaryota; Viridiplantae; Streptophyta; Magnoliopsida; Piperales; Piperaceae.